AUGAUGAUAGCACAGACCCAGCUCCUCAUGGUGUUGCUGCUCUGGGUCUCAGGUGCCAGUGAGGACAUUUCGAUGACCCAGUCUCCUGCCUCCCUGGCUGCAGCUCCAGGAGAAAUGGUUACCAUCAACUACAAGUGCAGUAAGAGUGUGAAGAGCUCCUUAGCCUGGUACCAGCCGAAACCAGGACAGGCUCCUAAGCUGCUCAUCUACUUAGCGUCCACCCAGUCAUCUGGGGCCCCAAUCUGGUUCAGUGGCCCUGGGUCUGGUACAGAUUUUACUGUCACCAUCAGCAGCCCCCAGUCUGAAGUUGUGCCAGAUUAUUACUAUCAGCAAAAUUAUGCCAUUCUUGUCACAGUGCUUUAG
Non-coding RNA from Loxodonta africana (African savanna elephant), 363 nucleotides. The record is from the annotation of a RefSeq genome assembly. NCBI's taxonomy places the organism in Eukaryota, Metazoa, Chordata, Mammalia, Proboscidea, Elephantidae.